RNAcentral lists this ribosomal RNA (488 nucleotides) under uncultured bacterium. RNAcentral describes it as "bacterial SSU rRNA". It matches the Rfam family "Bacterial small subunit ribosomal RNA", at positions 8 to 507 of the family's 1533-position model. The record is from RNAcentral.
AGAGUUUGAUCAGUGGCUCGAGGACGAACGCUGGCGGCGUGCUUAACACAUGCAAGUCGAACGGUGACCCAGGGCUUGCCCUGGUGAUCAGUGGCGAACGGGUGAGUAACACGUGGGCAACCUGCCCCUGACUUCGGGAUAACUCCUCGAAAGAGGAGCUAAUACCGGAUACGACCACUUCGGACAUCCGAUGGUGGUGGAAAGUUUUUCGGUCAGGGAUGGGCCCGCGGCCUAUCAGCUAGUUGGUGGGGUAAUGGCCUACCAAGGCGACGACGGGUAGCCGGCCUGAGAGGGCGACCGGCCACACUGGGACUGAGACACGGCCCAGACUCCUACGGGAGGCAGCAGUGGGGAAUAUUGCGCAAUGGGCGAAAGCCUGACGCAGCGACGCCGCGUGAGGGAUGAAGGCCUUCGGGUUGUAAACCUCUUUCAGCAGGGACGAAGCGAAAGUGACGGUACCUGCAGAAGAAGCACCGGCUAACUACGUG